UGGGGAAUAUUGCACAAUGGGCGAAAGCCUGAUGCAGCAACGCCGCGUGAGUGAUGAAGGCCUUCGGGUUGUAAAGCUCUGUCUUCUGGGACGAUAAUGACGGUACCAGAGGAGGAAGCCACGGCUAACUACGUGCCAGCAGCCGCGGUAAUACGUAGGUGGCAAGCGUUGUCCGGAUUUACUGGGCGUAAAGGAUGCGUAGGCGGAUACUUAAGUCAGAUGUGAAAAUCCCGGGCUUAACUUGGGAACUGCAUUUGAAACUGGGUUUCUAGAGUGCGGGAGAGGAAAGUGGAAUUCCUAGUGUAGCGGUGAAAUGCGUAGAGGUUAGGAAGAACACCAGUGGCGAAGGCGACUUUCUGGACCGUAACUGACGCUGAGGCAUGAAAGCGUGGGGAGCAAACA
RNAcentral lists this ribosomal RNA (402 nucleotides) under uncultured bacterium. RNAcentral describes it as "bacterial SSU rRNA". It matches the Rfam family "Bacterial small subunit ribosomal RNA", at positions 355 to 774 of the family's 1533-position model. The record is from RNAcentral.